RNAcentral lists this ribosomal RNA (593 nucleotides) under Spinomantis sp. 2 MV-2009. RNAcentral describes it as "partial 16S ribosomal RNA". The stretch from base 1 to 409 matches the Rfam family "Bacterial large subunit ribosomal RNA", at positions 701 to 1298 of the family's 2925-position model. Lineage: Eukaryota; Metazoa; Chordata; Amphibia; Anura; Mantellidae. The record is from RNAcentral.
UUUAGUUUGACAUCCCGAAACUAAGUGAGCUACUUCGAAACAGCCCAAAGAGCUAACCCAUCUCUGUUGCAAAAGAGUGGGAUGAUUUCCAAGUAGAAGCGAUAAACUUACCGCACUUAAAGAUAGCUGGUUAUUCGAGAAAAGAAUUUAAGUUCAACCUUAAGCUUACCUAUUUCAUAAAAAACUAUACAAAGCUUAAGAGUUACUCGAAUAAGGCACAGCUUAUUCGAAAUAGGAUACAACCUACAACCUAGGGUAAAAUCACGGAACACCUGACAAGUGGGCCUAAGAGCAGCCACCUUUUAAAAAGCGUUAAAGCUUAGUACACUAUUCUUAACAAUACCUCCACCAACUUCCAACCCAUCAACAAUAUCGAAUGACUCCAUAAAAAUAUGGAAGAUAUAAUGCUAAAACUAGUAAUAAGAAAUAGACUUUCUCCAAAAUGUAAGCUUAAGCCGAACUAGACCACCUAUCGGCAAUUAACGCAAAUGAACUUAUCAUAAUAACUCUACUAGAAAAUACUAUGCACUUCAACGUCAACCUUACACCAGAACAUUUAUGGAAAGAUUAAAAGAGAAAGAAGGAACUCGGCA